UACAGAGGGGGCAAGCGUUGUUCGGAAUUACUGGGCGUAAAGGGCGCGUAGGCGGCCUGUUAAGUCGAAUGUGAAAUCCCCGGGCUCAACCCGGGAACUGCGUCCGAUACUGGCAGGCUUGAAUCCGGGAGAGGGAUGUGGAAUUCCAGGUGUAGCGGUGAAAUGCGUAGAUAUCUGGAGGAACACCGGUGGCGAAGGCGGCAUCCUGGACCGGUAUUGACGCUGAGGCGCGAAAGCCAGGGGAGCAAACGGG
RNAcentral lists this ribosomal RNA (253 nucleotides) under uncultured bacterium. Its description in RNAcentral is "partial 16S ribosomal RNA". It matches the Rfam family "Bacterial small subunit ribosomal RNA", at positions 524 to 776 of the family's 1533-position model. The record is from RNAcentral.